Nelumbo nucifera (sacred lotus) is the source of this 3424-nucleotide non-coding RNA. Lineage: Eukaryota; Viridiplantae; Streptophyta; Magnoliopsida; Proteales; Nelumbonaceae. The record is from RefSeq and is a predicted model, not a curated record.
UGGGGAUUUCCUUCGCUUUCCCACUCGCGUUCGAAAUCUUUAAUCGUCUUUGGCCCUCUUCAGUUCUCUCCUUCCUUCUGAGAAGAGACUAGAGAUAGACAAGCAGAGAGAGAGAGGGAAAGGAGAGAAAGACUGAAAAGACUACCGAAGUUCAGAGACAGAGAGAUGAUGCUGGCGGCGAGUAUCAGAUCCCGAUAAUCCCUACGGGAAUUGAGGCUUAAUUAAGAAAAAUCUUAAGAAUUAAGAAUAAAGCAGCCUCUUCUAUUAAUUGUUUAUUCGGAUCUCUUCUGCUACGAGAAAAACUCCAAUCACCAAUGAGGCAAUGACGUUUCCCCCUCAACGUGUCCUUCUCCUCGAUUGAGGCUUCUCCUGGACACGCCUUACAAGCGAAGGGAACUCCUCCAUCAGCGCAAUAAUGUUUGGAGAGAGAGAGAAGGGGCGAUUCUGGUUUGCUCUUCUCCUUCCAAUUGGGUUUUGAAUUCUCUCUCUCUCCGUCUCUCCUUCAUUAACUGCCUUCUUAUUGCGUAUUAAUUUCUGUCUCGAAUUCUCGAUGUUUCGGUGCGCGUGUCGCUACUGCUUGUCCGUAUGAUAUCUGCCGUCUUUUGAUCACGGCCGUUAACGUUUCUCAGACGAAUUCACUUUAGUUCUGGGCGCGGCUAGUUUGUUAUGAAGUUCGGUGGUGAUUGCUUCGUUUCUGUUUCCCCAUCUUCCUUCGUCGUCAUUCCAUCGCUCUCAUGGAAUGCGUUUGAUCAACUUUUGGUUUUAGAUAUUUCAGGAUUUCUCGGUAUUAAUUCCUGCUUUAAGCAGCGCUUAGAGCAUAAUGUCGAGGAUGACAGACGAAAAUGAUCAAUGUUUCUUCCCUUUAACAAGCUUACAAAUUGGGGAUUUACAAUCUUAUCUUUCGCAUCUUAGUCUUUUCCUGGCCCCCGAAACUAAGAAAUUCUUUAUAUUGGUGGACAAUCGACCAUGGUCAACAUACCUGGAUUCACGAGCUGCACAUUUGUGGCAAUUCAUGGUUGUAAAGUCUAGGUUAUCCCCCUUUGCAAACACUAAAGCACGAAGGGAGAGAAAGAACCUCCGGAAUAGGUUUGAUUUGAAGGAUAGUUCCAUAUCCAACACUAGCAAGCCCGGUAAAUAUAAGAGAUGGUCCAUGCUGAUUGAUGUGACAAAAUUAUCUCAAAAGAAAGCCCUGUUGCCUGAGAAACUGAGGAAUUCCUUGCUCUUGGAUCGUCAGUUGAAUCAGAUCUUAUAUGGUUUCAUUGUAUUUGAAGUUGCAUGGGAAAGUGUCCGCGGUAUCAACUAUUUGAAUGAGCUUCAGACAGAUACAUGUAUGGCAAUAGAGGCUAAAUUCAUGAAAAGAUGGGAAUUUGAAAGUAUAGAACAAGCUUCAAGUUCAAUUCCUUCAUGGUUCUCAGGAACACACUUUGAACAGAUUCUAUUGCGGAAGUGCCUAGAUUCCAUUAGAGGAGAUGUAUUCUAUGACACCAGAGAAGAUUUCUCAUGGACUGAACCUGUUAGUGACAGUGAAAGCAUCUAUUCUGAUGAUGAUUGUCUUCCAGAAAAAUCUCCUUACAGCAUUGGUAACAAAUUUGGUGUAUACCCUGCAAGUGUUGAAAAUAAAAGUGCACUACACACACCACCUCCUGCCACUGGGCCAUACAAGAGAAGAAAAAUAAUAAAAUACAUUAAUUCCAGAGAUGAAAUGGAUACAUUUUCCAAGACUCACAGUGAAAUUGAUAACUCACAACAACAUUCAGAGAUUUCAAUUUCUACUAGUAGCAGUGACAGUGAAAAUACAGUUGAAGCUAGUGAGUACAGGGACGUUUUGAUUUUGUUUAGGUUCAAUGACCAUGACCUUCCAUUUAAAUUGAGGGAAAUAAUCAUGUCAGAUGUGCGGUUACUAACUUUACUAGAGUCUGGGCUUCCAUCUUGGGUUAUUUUUCUUCAAUCAUAUCCAGUAUUUUGCCACCUCUAUCGUCCAUGGAUGUGCCCCCUUGCAAGAGCUUUGUAUGUGCUGAUUUCAGUUAUAACUGUUCUCAUUGGGUUUUAUGAUUUAUACAAAAAUGUUCCACUCCUGAAAGCAACUGCAUCACGCUUGUGUGGGCCUCUUUUUGACUGGAUAGAAAGUUGGGAGAUGAUAUCAAGGAUCAGAUACUUGGGCACCAUGCUGUUUCUUCAUAAUUUUGAGAAGGCAGUUAAGUGGUUCUUAAUGGUCACACAUGCCAUCAGAUCAUUUCUUUCAGUUCUCACACAACCAAUAGGGCCAUUUCUGGAGUUUAUGGAUUUCCUCUUUCCCAUUUGGAAUAUAUGUCUUGAAGCAGUUGAGGGCUUCUGUUCUGUAAUUUGGAUUACAAUUGGUUCUUCAUGCAGCCUAGUAAUGAACCUUUUAGAGGUUUUAUUCUCACCAUUGUGGUUUAUUAUUUCUAUCAUCUGGAGAAUCGGAUCAUCAAUUAUAUACCCAAUAUUUUGGGCCCUUAAGGAAAUACUAUAUACUCCCAUCCGCCUGGUUAUUGCAUUAGCAAGUUCUAUAGCCUUUAUUUGCUCCUGCAUAUUUAAUUUGCUGGGAGAGCUGUGGUCAUCAAUAAGUAGUAUCUUCCAGAUUGCCACAGCUUCUGAGGCAGCAGUGAGCACCUCUGAGAUUUCCAUGUGGCGUGCACUGUGGAAUGACCUUUUCUCUCAGAUUUUCCGUGCUGUCCGGAGCAUCUUAAAUGGUUUCAUUGCCUUCUUCAUAGCCUGCAACAGGCAUCGACUAAGCAUCUACAACCAUAUCCAGGAGGUUUUGCAACAACUAUCUUGCCUAGCCCUCCGGUCACAGUCUAGUCGUUGCAGACAGAAAUGUGGAUCUCAAAUUCAUAUCGAAUGUCCUUGACUCCUUGCACAAUAAAGGUAAUGGUGAAAUACAUUUCCAGAUCAAUAUGGUUUGCUAUGGUGAUAUAGAGACAUUUCCAGAUCAAUAUGCUUUGCUAUUGCUUUAGCAAGAAGUACUGAAGACCUUAYUGCUGCUUUGUCUAUGCAAAUGCCUUCUGAUUGUCCCAUUAGAGAUGCUCAUCAACCACUUGUGUUAAAAUCAAGUAAUUUCUCUUGCUAAUUUGGGUUGCCAUUAUGGUUUAUAGAUGAAAAUGACUUGAAAAACUUAGCUUUUCAAGUAUGGUUUGCUAUGGUGAAAUACAUUUCCAGAUCAAUAUGGUUUGCUAUGGUGAUAUAGAGACAUUUCCAGAUCAAUAUGCUUUGCUAUUGCUUUAGCAAGAAGUACUGAAGACCUUAUUGCUGCUUUGUCUAUGCAAAUGCCUUCUGAUUGUCCCAUUAGAGAUGCUCAUCAACCACUUGUGUUAAAAUCAAGUAGAAGACAGGAGGAAUAUCCAUUCCAGACACCACCAUAAAGCUCAAGAGAAUGCACACAUGUUGAGACGACGAAAAAAGAUUG